CGUUGGCAUGACAGAACAACAUUUCCAGAUUUAAAACCACUUGAAGUGAAUUGAAGUCUUGAGAAAGUGGCUGCUGUAGGAAAGACUACGUGCUUUUCUGUCUUGACAGGUUCUGACAGGGGUGACGCAGAAGGCAGCAGGAUGCCUGCACCCAGCUGGGGGAAAGGGCUUCAGAGAGGAGAAAAGGAAACACGACAGUUGAUCAGCGGUUCUACUACAGAAGUAGUAUUUUAUAUACUUAACAAAGACAGAGAAUUAAUGCAGAAAUAUGUUUCCAUAUCCUUGAUGUCCAUCGAGUGACUAAGGUCCUUGGUAAGGCUGAAAAUUCCCUUUCUUCUCAUUCAACAAUGUUACAGUUAUAGUUUUAUCUUGUAUAAAUAUAAUGAUAAGUGAGCAAAUAUUAAGAUUUAUCAUCAACUGUAGAAUUAGCUGAAAAAAGAGAUACAUUUACAAAGUAUAAAGUUUCUGACAAUAAUUUUAAUCCUCCAAUAAAUAAUAAAUCACAAAUAUUUAUUCGAUACCU
RNAcentral lists this long non-coding RNA (523 nucleotides) under Oryctolagus cuniculus (rabbit). RNAcentral's name for it is "lncRNA (ENSOCUG00000035366.1)". The record is from RNAcentral. Lineage: Eukaryota; Metazoa; Chordata; Mammalia; Lagomorpha; Leporidae.